RNAcentral lists this ribosomal RNA (167 nucleotides) under uncultured bacterium. Its description in RNAcentral is "partial 16S ribosomal RNA". It matches the Rfam family "Bacterial small subunit ribosomal RNA", at positions 1334 to 1500 of the family's 1533-position model. The record is from RNAcentral.
GCUAGUAAUCGUAGGUCAGCAUACUACGGUGAAUACGUUCCCGGGCCUCGUACACACCGCCCGUCAAACCAUGAGAGUUGGCAACACCCGAAGUCGGUAGUCUAACCGCAAGGAGGACGCCGCCGAAGGUGGGGUCGAUGAUUAGGGUUAAGUCGUAACAAGGUAAC